GAUUCCGGGAGUAGUGGCGAGCGAAACCGGAUGAGGCCAAACCGUAUGCGUGUGAGACCCGGCAGGGGUUGCGCAUGCGGGGUUGUGGGAUCUCUCUUUCAUGGUCUGCCGGCCGUGAGACGAGUCAGAAACCGUUGAUGUAGGCGAAGGACAUGCGAAAGGUCCGGCGUAGAGGGUAAGACCCCCGUAGUCGAAACGUCAGCGGCUCGUUGGAGAG
RNAcentral lists this non-coding RNA (217 nucleotides) under Streptomyces caelestis. RNAcentral's name for it is "Bacterial large subunit ribosomal RNA". It matches the Rfam family "Bacterial large subunit ribosomal RNA", at positions 233 to 404 of the family's 2925-position model. The record is from Rfam by way of RNAcentral. Lineage: Bacteria; Bacillati; Actinomycetota; Actinomycetes; Kitasatosporales; Streptomycetaceae.